This 446-nucleotide ribosomal RNA is filed under the name Escherichia coli. Its description in RNAcentral is "partial 23S ribosomal RNA". It matches the Rfam family "Bacterial large subunit ribosomal RNA", at positions 225 to 713 of the family's 2925-position model. Lineage: Bacteria; Pseudomonadati; Pseudomonadota; Gammaproteobacteria; Enterobacterales; Enterobacteriaceae. The record is from RNAcentral.
UCAACCGAGAUUCCCCCAGUAGCGGCGAGCGAACGGGGAGGAGCCCAGAGCCUGAAUCAGUGUGUGUGUUAGUGGAAGCGUCUGGAAAGGCGCGCGAUACAGGGUGACAGCCCCGUACACAAAAAUGCACAUACUGUGAGCUCGAUGAGUAGGGCGGGACACGUGGUAUCCUGUCUGAAUAUGGGGGGACCAUCCUCCAAGGCUAAAUACUCCUGACUGACCGAUAGUGAACCAGUACCGUGAGGGAAAGGCGAAAAGAACCCCGGCGAGGGGAGUGAAAAAGAACCUGAAACCGUGUACGUACAAGCAGUGGGAGCCUCUUAAUGGGGUGACUGCGUACCUUUUGUAUAAUGGGUCAGCGACUUAUAUUCUGUAGCAAGGUUAACCGAAUAGGGGAGCCGAAGGGAAACCGAGUCUUAACUGGGCGUUAAGUUGCAGGGUAUAGA